CCCUUAGACGUUCUGGGCCGCACGCGCGCUACACUGACGGAGCCAGCGAGUAUAAACCUUGGCCGAGAGGUCUGGGAAAUCUUGUGAAACUCCGUCGUGCUGGGGAUAGAGCAUUGUAAUUAUUGCUCUUCAACGAGGAAUUCCUAGUAAGCGCAAGUCAUCAGCUUGCGUUGAUUACGUCCCUGCCCUUUGUACACACCGCCCGUCGCUACUACCGAUUGAAUGGCUUAGUGAGGCUCCCGGAUUGGUUUAGAGAAGGGGGCAACUCCAUCUUAGAACCGAGAAGCUAGUCAAACUUGGUCAUUUAGAGGAAGUAAAAGUCGUAACA
This 328-nucleotide ribosomal RNA is filed under the name uncultured eukaryote. RNAcentral describes it as "partial 18S ribosomal RNA". It matches the Rfam family "Eukaryotic small subunit ribosomal RNA", at positions 1470 to 1796 of the family's 1831-position model. The record is from RNAcentral.